RNAcentral lists this ribosomal RNA (451 nucleotides) under Staphylococcus warneri. RNAcentral describes it as "bacterial SSU rRNA". It matches the Rfam family "Bacterial small subunit ribosomal RNA", at positions 55 to 488 of the family's 1533-position model. Lineage: Bacteria; Bacillati; Bacillota; Bacilli; Caryophanales; Staphylococcaceae. The record is from RNAcentral.
AUGCAAGUCGAGCGAACAGAUAAGGAGCUUGCUCCUUUGACGUUAGCGGCGGACGGGUGAGUAACACGUGGAUAACCUACCUAUAAGACUGGGAUAACUUCGGGAAACCGGAGCUAAUACCGGAUAACAUAUUGAACCGCAUGGUUCAAUAGUGAAAGGCGGCUUUGCUGUCACUUAUAGAUGGAUCCGCGCCGUAUUAGCUAGUUGGUAAGGUAACGGCUUACCAAGGCAACGAUACGUAGCCGACCUGAGAGGGUGAUCGGCCACACUGGAACUGAGACACGGUCCAGACUCCUACGGGAGGCAGCAGUAGGGAAUCUUCCGCAAUGGGCGAAAGCCUGACGGAGCAACGCCGCGUGAGUGAUGAAGGUCUUCGGAUCGUAAAACUCUGUUAUCAGGGAAGAACAAAUGUGUAAGUAACUGUGCACAUCUUGACGGUACCUAAUCAGAA